UUCUUAGUGACCACCUCUGACCACCCAACUUAAUACUUCUCCUCUCCUCCCUGCCCCAAAGCUGUAUGUAUCUCCUCUCUGCUUUAUUUCCUCCAGGGCAUCUGUGCCUCCUGUGUGUUGCCUGCCCCCGUGUGGAAGGGCAGCUCCAUGGGACGCGGCUCUGUCCGCUUAGCUUGGUGUUUGUCACUGGGGCCCAGGAUGUUCAGUGCUUGUGGAAUGAAAAAUAGAGUAGAAUAAUGAAGGGGAUUAAAUAUGUGACAUUUUAGUAUGUUGACUGUAUUAUACACUGUUACUAAGGAAUCAAAGCCGAUGUAUAAACAUUGUGUCUACACAUUAUACUAUUUUAUGAUUAUUGUAUGGAACUUUAUAAUACAAAAUUUCUUUGCAGUACAAUUUUGAGAAAUAGGUUAACUCUAUUUUAACUUAAAAGUACCCUAAAAAUUAUUUAAUUGUUUAUUAGUGAGUAACAGGCUCAAAUAUAGCGGUUUUUUUUUCUUUUAGUAUUGCUUUGCAUCCUCUAGGCUUGAAUGGUAUAAACACUGUAUUUUGACUUCUUAUUCAAUUUUAGAUUACCAGAGAAGAUUUUGCCACAUUUGAUUAUAUACUAUGUAUGGAUGAAAGCAAUCUGAGAGAUUUGAAUAGAAAAAGUAAUCAAGUUAAAACCUGCAAAGCUAAAAUUGAACUACUUGGGAGCUAUGAUCCACAAAAACAACUUAUUAUUGAAGAUCCCUAUUAUGGGAAUGACUCUGACUUUGAGACGGUGUACCAGCAGUGUGUCAGGUGCUGCAGAGCGUUCUUGGAGAAGGCCCACUGAGGCAGGUUCGUGCCCUGCUGCGGCCAGCCUGACUAGACCCCACCCUGAGGUCCUGUAUUUCUCAGUCAGUGUGUAAUCAAGUUCCAGGGCCCAAAGCCCCAGCUCUUUGUUCAGUUGACUUACUGUUUCUUACCUUAAAAAGUACUUGUAGAUGGAAAUCAGUUGUGUUUGACAGAAGAAUCAAUAAAAAUCUUUGAUUCAGA
Molecule: small RNA, 1017 nt
Filed under: Pongo abelii (Sumatran orangutan)
Lineage: Eukaryota; Metazoa; Chordata; Mammalia; Primates; Hominidae
Description: retained intron
Source: RNAcentral